This 327-nucleotide ribosomal RNA is filed under the name uncultured eukaryote. RNAcentral describes it as "partial 18S ribosomal RNA". It matches the Rfam family "Eukaryotic small subunit ribosomal RNA", at positions 1470 to 1796 of the family's 1831-position model. The record is from RNAcentral.
CCCUUAGAUGUUCUGGGCCGCACGCGCGCUACACUGACGAAUGCAACGAGCUUAUAACCUUGGCCGAAAGGUCUGGGCAAUCUCCAAAUUUCGUCGUGAUGGGGAUAGAUUAUUGCAAUUAUUAAUCUUCAACGAGGAAUGCCUAGUAAGCGCAAGUCAUCAGCUUGCGUUGAUUACGUCCCUGCCCUUUGUACACACCGCCCGUCGCUCCUACCGAUUGAAUGGUCCGGUGAAGCGCUCGGACCGCGGCCUCUUGACGGUUUUCCGUCGAUUGGCUGUGGGAAGUUCGUUAAACCUUAUCAUUUAGAGGAAGGAGAAGUCGUAACA